Long non-coding RNA from Chinchilla lanigera (long-tailed chinchilla), 714 nucleotides. RefSeq lists it as uncharacterized. The transcript has 2 exons. The record is from RefSeq and is a predicted model, not a curated record. NCBI's taxonomy places the organism in Eukaryota, Metazoa, Chordata, Mammalia, Rodentia, Chinchillidae.
AGUUAGCGCGGUGGCCGGGGGAGGGGCGGGAGGGUGGAAGCGGGGGGCGAGGAGGAGGAAAUCGAGGGGGAGGCAGGGGACGAGGUGAUGGGGUGCAGAGGUGAGGAGUCAAGUCCGACGAGCCGGCGGCGGGCGGAGUCAGCGGGCGGCGCGGGGCGGACGCCGCGGGGACUCGGAGAGCUCGGGAGGCAGCGCAGGGCGGGCAGGCCGGGUCCUCGGGCACCGCAUGCGGGGUGCAGGGCUCCCUUCCCGUGAGAUCACAACGUAGAGCGGGGUCUGAGUCCACCCGCGGCCGGCGAGGCCCCGCGCGCCGUGUCCUGCUCCUGCUCCUCCUCCUCCUCCUCCGCCUCCUCCCGGCGCGGCUCCUUCCGCCCCGCCGCGGCGGGCGCGCCCUCUGCGCGCUCCCUCCUGCUCUCCGCGGAACCCCCGCGUCCCUCUUGCGACGAGGGCCCGGAGGUUUCAUCCUCAGAAACCCAACAAGUUCCACUAGCCCAGCAUAUCUGCCAUCCUGAGAAGUGGAAGUUCUGGAUCUCUGCCAUGGAUGGGAAAAGAGGAGGCGUCUCUCUUUACUGUUCUAUGUCAUCCCUGAGGAAAAUGGAUGCCCUUAUUUUCUAUACUCCUUAGGGCCCUCUUUGCUUAUUUUUAGCCAGUUCUUUAUUAUUCCAACCCUCUGUUACAGUCAAUAAUUCUAUAUUAAAACUAUUAUUUUUCAAA